AUGGAGUACAAGAAAAUCCGAUCUGUUCGCGUGGGUUGUGCUUCUACUAUCACAAUGGACGACGACGGCCACGGCUCCUCCUCCUCCUCGCCGCUGCACGUGGUGAUCUGCCCGUGGCUCGCCUUCGGCCACCUGCUGCCGUGCCUCGACAUCGCCGAGCGCCUGGCGUCGCGCGGCCACCGCGUGUCCUUCGUCUCCACGCCGCGCAACAUCGCGCGCCUCCCGCCGGUCCGGCCCGCCGUGGCGCCGCUCGUCGACUUUGUGGCGCUGCCGCUCCCGCACGUGGACGGCCUCCCCGAGGGCGCCGAGUCGACCAACGACGUCCCGCACGACCAGUUCGAGCUCCUCCGGGAGGCCUUCGACGGCCUCGCCGCGCCCUUCUCAGAGUUCCUGCGCGCCGCGUGCGUCGACGGAGCUGGCAGCAGGCCGGACUGGCUCAUCGUUGACACCUUCCACCACUGGGCCGCCGCGUCCGCCGUCCAAAAUAAGGUUCCAUGUGUGAUGCUUCUCCUGGGAGCCGCAACCGUGAUCGCCGCCUGGGCCACAGGGGUGUCCGAGCACACCGCCGACGCCGUCGGAAAAGAGCGAUCGGCAGCAGAAGCGCCGAGCUUCGAGACGGAGAGGAGAAAGCUAAUGAUCACCCAGAACGCGUCGGGGAUGACAGUCGCCGAGCGCUACUUCCUGACGCUCACGAGGAGCAAUCUCGUGGCCAUCCGGAGCUGCGCCGAGUGGGAGCCCGAGAGCGUCGCCGCCCUCACCACGCUCGCGGGCAAGCCGGUUGUCACUCUCGGCCUCCUCCCACCGUCACCUGAGGGAGGGCGCGGUGUCAGCAAGGAGGACGCCGCCGUGCGCUGGCUCGACGCGCAACCGGCCAAUAAGUCGGUGGUCUACGUCGCGCUCGGGAGCGAGGUGCCACUGCGCGCGGAGCAGGUGCACGAGCUGGCCCUCGGGCUGGAGCUCUCGGGGGCACGCUUCCUCUGGGCCUUGCGGAAGCCGUCCGGCGUGCCGGACGCCGACAUCCUCCCUCCGGGGUUCAAGGAGCGCACGCGCGACCGCGGGCUCGUGUUGACCGGGUGGGUUCCUCAAAUCAGCGUGCUGGCGCACGACGCCGUUGCCGCGUUCCUGACCCACUGUGGGUGGAACUCGACCAUCGAAGGGCUCCUGUUCGGCCACCCGCUGAUCAUGCUACCCAUCUCUAGCGACCAGGGGCCCAACGCGCGACUCAUGGAGGGGAGGAAGGUUGGAAUGCAGGUGCCGAGAAACGAGAGUGACGGAUCGUUCACCCGGGAAGACGUCGCGGCGAUGGUGCGGGCCGUCGCCGUGGAGGAAGACGGCAGGAGGGUCUUCACGGCCAACGCCAAGAAGAUGCAGGAGAUCGUAGCCGACGGCGCAUGCCAUGAGAGGUGCAUCGACGGGCUUAUUCAGCAGCUCAGAUCUUACAAGGCCUGA
Molecule: ribosomal RNA, 1449 nt
Filed under: Triticum aestivum (bread wheat)
Lineage: Eukaryota; Viridiplantae; Streptophyta; Magnoliopsida; Poales; Poaceae
Description: partial small subunit ribosomal RNA
Source: RNAcentral